CCAACCUGGAGACAGACAGGGAGCAGUUUUUGAAAGAAAUUAGCUCUGUUUUUCUAUUCCUGGAUAACCCCCUUUAAAGAUUCUCUGCCCAACAUCUCGACAUGCACUGUUAGGGUCUAUUCACAUGGCAGAAUUUCCGCAUGCAGAAUUCCGCAUCAAAUUAAAGCCCAUAGACUUCUAUGGGAUCCCGCACUCCCAUUCACACUUCUGAAUUUCCGCGCAAUGCGAGUGCGGAAUCCCAUAGAAGUCUAUGGGCUUAAAUUUGAGGCGGAAAUUCUGCCGUGUGAAUAGAUCCUUAUUCUUCCACUGUCAGCAGAAAAAGUUAUUUCUUGACCUGGAGUCCAAUUUUCUAUCCAUUUGGUCUUUUUCCCAUUAGCUUUUUUCAAAAAGAGUUGGGACAAUAUUUGUCCAGGGCCUUUUAUCUAUGCAGCUGGCAAGGGCAUAUAUAGAAUAGAGGCAGACCGUGCAACUGCUAUGGUGCCCCUUAAGAUAAGGAGCCCUGGUUUGGUUGGUUCCAUCUAAUUUGCUACUGGGUGGCAAAAACCUUUGCACCUGUGUAAGAGUCCCAUUUUAAAUGUUGUUUUAGGACCUCCUCUCUUUUAUGUAUGCCACAAAGCAGAUGAAGAGAUUUACUGAAGUAAUACUAUCCCCCCCCCCCCCCCCCCUACCCACUGCAGCAUAGCCACGCCCCAUGGAGAUCAUGUGACUUAUUGAGAAUAUUGUCUCUGGCCGCACUGAAUACUGAGAAAAGUCAAAGGCAACAUAAAAUAAAAAGACUUGCACUACAGCACUUCUCUGUGUGGGCCCUGUGCAUAAAAACAGGACAAAGCGGCGCACCGAGGUAAUAGAAGCGUAUUUACGCAGUAUUAUAACUUGGCAUCAUGGACUCAAAGGCUUAAAAGGAAAAAAAAUCCUGGAAUACCCCUUUAAGUCCCCCAUUCACAUGGCAGAAUUUCUGAGCAGAAUCCUGUUGAAAAACUAAGCUCUGAAAUUCCGUUGCAGCAGAGUCCCAUUGUUUUCAAGGGGAUCCUGUUGCACUGUGCACAUGGCAGAAUUUCAUUGGCAGAAACACCUGACGUGGAAAUUCAAUUUUUGCACACCACAGAAAAAUGUACAUGCCAGCUCUGAUGCCAACACUGCUUUACGUAAUUUGACAGAAGCCUUCACCGGGUCCUGUGCAAUACCACAUUCCCCCUCCCCCCCUCAGAUUCUUCUUCUUUGGGCAACUGGAAUUCUCACAAUCAUGUGUUGGCCAGAAGGGGAUUUAUUUGUUAAAUUUGGGUGUCCAGGCUCAGAAAAGGGUCUUUUCCUUUUUUUUUUUUUUUUUUUUUUUUUUUUACAAAAAAAACACUCCACCUUUGGCCAUAGAUAGUGUCUUCUAUUGUAGCUGUGACCAAUUUACUUAUAAGGAAACCUGUCACCAUGAAAAUCAAUCUCCAUCAUGUUAUAGAGCAGGAGGAGCUGAACAGAUUGAUAUAUAUAUCUUGAUUGAAAUAUCUGCUAUCUCUAUGCUUGGGAGAGAUCGGAUCAUUGAGUGGUACCGCCCACUGGACUCCUAAGGAUUUAUAUAGUAGGGAUUUUAAUCAAUAAGUUAGAAGUUAAAUUGAAUCUUUUCCCACAAAGAUAGAUAUCAAUCUGCUCAGCUCCACCUGCUCUAUAACAUGAUACAGAGAUUAGAUAACAUUUUCAUGGUGACAAAUUCCCUUUAAAAAAAACGAAAAAAAAAAUAAAAAAAACAGUCCUGUCCUGUUCCCUGAGAUAAUAGGAGCUGGUUAUUGUACCUUUUGCUAUCGUACUCGGCACCUUGGAGAAUAUCCAUAUUUUUAAAAAACCUUAGAACACACUGUGGCAUGAGCAUAGCUGCACUUUAUAGAACAAUGCUGUCUAUUAGAAUGUUUUACUUUUAUGUUUUUAUUUUCUUUUAUAUCAUGUUUUAUAUAAAAUACUGUGAGGUGAAUAGUUCAGGAGCCAGUGGAUAAAAUGGUCUUUACCGCUGCCUUUCAUGAUGUUAUAUCUGGAUUCGUUGUUAUCAUUUUCAACUAUCAUUUACCAUUCAUCUACUUAAAGCAUAACUCCACCCGAUAAUUCUAAAGGGGUUAUCCAGGAUUGGAAAAACAGAGCUUAUUUCUUCAAAAAAUAGCACUACACCUGUCCUCAGGUUGUGUGUGGUAUUGCAGCUCAGUUCCAUUGAAGUCAAUAGAGUCAAGUUGUAAUACCACAAACAACCUGAGGACAGUUUGAGGAAAAUGUUUUUGGAAGCAAUUAGCUCUGUUCUUUCUAUUUCUGGUAUUUAAAGGGGUACUCCGCUGCUCAACGUUUGGAACAAACUGUUCCGAACGCUGGCGCCGGCAGCUCGUGAUGUCAUAGCCCCGCCGAUCAUGAGCCGUCACGCCCCCUCCCAUAGACUUGCAUUGAGGGGGCGGGGUGUGACAUCAUGAGGAGGUGGGGUUAUGACGUCACAAGCUCCCGGUGCCGGCUCCAGCAAAUGCUGAGCAGCAGAGUACCCCUUUAAGAGUCAGGUACCUUUGGGAGCUCCUGUUGAUGUAGCUAUGUAGAGCACAGUACUUGAUACUUGUUGAUAAGAGGUCCUUUGGGGCAGAAGAUCCAGAAUCAGAUUUGUUGUUGGAGUUUUACUUUUUACCAUUGAUCGUUUUUAUCAACCUUACGGAUUGACCUGCUGAGCUGUUGUGAAUGCAUCUAUUUAUAUAGAGCUUAGCUUGAGUCAUUUUACUAUGCAUCACUGCCAAAAUCAAAAUGGGUCCUCCUCUGAUCUCUGCCGGUCACCUGCUGAUUGUUGACACCUUCCUAUCCUCCACCACUUUAUUUAGGAAAGAAACAUGAAGUUUCCCCUCAACCUGAUACUCCUUUAUUGUUCCAUAUAUUGUGGUUUGGGGAAGCACAAGGGUAAAAGAUCACAAUACCUUUGAGGAAGGGAAAUUGGGUCAAUGAAAAUUUUAAAUGCUAUAGAAGAAGUGUUUUUUGUGUGCACUAAGCGUCCAAUAAUCCAAAAAGAAUCAAUGAUCCUUAAAGGAACACACAGGGCAAAGCUGAUACACUGUGUAAUGCCUAAAAUUGGGCCUAAGGGGUGGAGCAUGACACAGGGACUUAUAAAGCACCAAAGAGAGAAUCCAUGUGCCAUGGUCUGCCCCUUUAGUCUGCACGCUAAGAAAUACAUGGUGGCCCAAAUUUACUGUGCCCUGUUGAACCACAAGUGCCAAAAUUGUUAAGGGGGGGUGUGUCAUGGUAUAAAAGCACUGCAUUGCCUUUGCCUAAAGUACACCAGGAUGGUCUAAACCAAAGUUUCCUAACCAGGGUGCCUCCGGCUGUUGCAAAACUACAACUCCCAUCAUGCCUGGGAGUUGUAGUUUUGCAACAGCUGGAGGCACCCAGGUUUGGAAACACUGGUAAACGUUCAAACUCAUGAUAGAUAGCCUAUAGAUGCGCCAAACUUAUCAAACAGCCUGAGCCACUGUGAAAGAUGUGGCGCAUCUGAAGUCUGUCCGUCUUAGUCUGACGCUCUUAGUAACCGUGUAUGUGUUUCGUCUGGAGUGUCCCUUUAAGUAGAACAGUCCUAACAGGUCAAUGUGUAGUGUUUAAUAGAUUUUUGUUAUUAGGUCAGUGUUGCCUUGCAAGGAUAAUUCAUACAAAAUCCCUGAACUAAAAAGUAUACAACCCCCUCCCUAUACACAACAUUUUAUUUUUAGCAGGAAACGGCUGUUAAUAAACGUCAUGAUCUGGUGCAAAUGGCCCUGAUGUAAUGCAAAAAAAAAAUUUAGAUAUAGGCCUUGAUAUUGGUUAGUUUGAGUGAACGGUCCCAUUGGUUAACCUGCAUGUUCUUAUAGCCAACAUUUCCUUUUGGUUAAUCACAUGUGAAGUGGAAGUGGUUAAUAAGUGAACGGGGAUUUCCAAGAACAGCACUUUACAAAUGGUGGAAGUGGUUGUUUUACAGCAAAUAUGGAAAGUGUGGCACUUCUUAUUCAUUGAACUUUAUUGUCCCUCUGAAAUUAUGGAUGAACGUGUCGUGCCCUAUUCUGAAUCCAGUGGCACCGGGUCAUGUGGAGAGGAAGCGGGCCACGGGAAGAAGUGUGGCAGGAAUAACCUCAAUACUGUAAGAAUUUGCCCGAAACAAAACUAUUGUUCAAACAAAACCACGUGGAAAUGUGACCGUAAUAAAAAGAGGUUUUUGCUCUUUG
This is a long non-coding RNA of Hyla sarda, 4193 nucleotides long. RefSeq lists it as uncharacterized. The transcript is spliced from 2 exons. The record is from RefSeq and is a predicted model, not a curated record. Lineage: Eukaryota; Metazoa; Chordata; Amphibia; Anura; Hylidae.